AUUGAAACACUGAUUACCAUCUGAUUACUGAAGUUAAGCAAUAUUGAGCCUGAUUAGUAUCUAGAUGGGUGAACAACUGGGAACAUCAUGUGCUAU
Non-coding RNA from Acanthosepion pharaonis, 96 nucleotides. Lineage: Eukaryota; Metazoa; Mollusca; Cephalopoda; Sepiida; Sepiidae. The record is from the annotation of a GenBank genome assembly.